Molecule: ribosomal RNA, 226 nt
Filed under: uncultured bacterium
Lineage: Bacteria
Description: partial 16S ribosomal RNA
Rfam family: Bacterial small subunit ribosomal RNA
Source: RNAcentral
GACAGAGGUGCCGAGCGUUAGGCGGAAUCACUGGGCUUAAAGCGUGUGUAGGCGGGCGGGCAAGUACCUUGUGAAAUCCCACGGCUCAACCGUGGAACGGCUGGGUAUACUGCCUGUUUCUGAGCCAACUAGGGGGCGAGCGGAACAGACGGUGGAGCGGUGAAAUGCGUUGAGAUCGGAAGGAACGCCCGUGGCGAAAGCGGGCUCCUGGACCCCACCUGACGCU